GACGAACGCUGGCGGCGUGCUUAACACAUGCAAGUCGAACGGAAAGGCCCUGCUUUUGUGGGGUGCUCGAGUGGCGAACGGGUGAGUAACACGUGAGUAACCUGCCCUUGACUUUGGGAUAACUUCAGGAAACUGGGGCUAAUACCGGAUAGGAGCUCCUGCUGCAUGGUGGGGGUUGGAAAGUUUCGGCGGUUGGGGAUGGACUCGCGGCUUAUCAGCUUGUUGGUGGGGUAGUGGCUUACCAAGGCUUUGACGGGUAGCCGGCCUGAGAGGGUGACCGGCCACAUUGGGACUGAGAUACGGCCCAGACUCCUACGGGAGGCAGCAGUGGGGAAUAUUGCACAGUGGGCGGAAGCCUGAUGCAGCAACGCCGCGUGCGGGAUGACGGCCUUCGGGUUGUAAACCGCUUUCGCCUGUGACGAAGCGUGAGUGACGGUAAUGGGUAAAGAAGCACCGGCUAACUACGUGCCAGCAGCCGCGGUGAUACGUAGGGUGCGAGCGUUGUCCGGAUUUAUUGGGCGUAAAGGGCUCGUAGGUGGUUGAUCGCGUCGGAAGUGUAAUCUUGGGGCUUAACCCUGAGCGUGCUUUCGAUACGGGUUGACUUGAGGAAGGUAGGGGAGAAUGGAAUUCCUGGUGGAGCGGUGGAAUGCGCAGAUGUCAGGAGGAACACCAGUGGCGAAGGCGGUUCUCUGGGCCUUUCCUGACGCUGAGGAGCGAAAGCGUGGGGAGCGAACAGGCUUAGAUACCCUGAUAGUCCACGCUGUAAACGGUGGGUACUAGGUGUGGGGUCCAUUCCACGGGUUCCGUGCCGUAGCUAACGCUUUAAGUACCCCGCCUGGGGAGUACGGCCGCAAGGCUAAAACUCAAAGGAAUUGACGGGGCCCCGCACAAGCGGCGGAGCAUGCGGAUUAAUUCGAUGCAACGCGUAGAACCUUACCUGGGUUUGACAUGGAUCGGGAGUGCUCAGAGAUGGGUGUGCCUCUUUUGGGGUCGGUUCACAGGUGGUGCAUGGCUGUCGUCAGCUCGUGUCGUGAGAUGUUGGGUUAAGUCCCGCAACGAGCGCAACCCUUGUUCACUGUUGCCAGCACGUUAUGGUGGGGACUCAGUGGAGACCGCCGGGGUCAACUCGGAGGAAGGUGGGGAUGACGUCAAGUCAUCAUGCCCCUUAUGUCCAGGGCUUCACGCAUGCUACAAUGGCUGGUACAGAGAGUGGCGAGCCUGUGAGGGUGAACGAAUCUCGGAAAGCCGGUCUCAGUUCGGAUUGGGGUCUGCAACUCGACCUCAUGAAGUCGGAGUCGCUAGUAAUCGCAGAUCAGCAACGCUGCGGUGAAUACGUUCCCGGG
Molecule: ribosomal RNA, 1343 nt
Filed under: uncultured bacterium
Lineage: Bacteria
Description: 16S ribosomal RNA
Rfam family: Bacterial small subunit ribosomal RNA
Source: RNAcentral